This 460-nucleotide ribosomal RNA is filed under the name uncultured bacterium. RNAcentral describes it as "partial 16S ribosomal RNA". It matches the Rfam family "Bacterial small subunit ribosomal RNA", at positions 338 to 795 of the family's 1533-position model. The record is from RNAcentral.
CCUACGGGGUGCAGCAGUGAGGAAUAUUGGUCAAUGGACGAGAGUCUGAACCAGCCAAGUAGCGUGAAGGAUGACUGCCCUAUGGGUUGUAAACUUCUUUUAUAAAGGAAUAAAACGAGGCACGUGUGCCUUUUUGCAUGUACUUUAUGAAUAAGGAUCGGCUAACUCCGUGCCAGCAGCCGCGGUAAUACGGAGGAUCCGAGCGUUAUCCGGAUUUAUUGGGUUUAAAGGGAGCGUAGAUGGGUUGUUAAGUCAGUUGUGAAAGUUUGCGGCUCAACCGUAAAAUUGCAAUUGAUACUGGUAGUCUUGAGUACAGUUGAGGUAGGCGGAAUGCGUGGUGUAGCGGUGAAAUGCUUAGAGAUCACGAAGAACCCCGAUUGCGAAGGCAGCUUACUAAACUGUGACUGACAUUGAUGCUCGAAAGUGUGGGUAUCAAACAGGAUUAGAUACCCGGGUAGUC